Molecule: ribosomal RNA, 483 nt
Filed under: bacterium 75-L049640-122-012-C10
Lineage: Bacteria
Description: bacterial SSU rRNA
Rfam family: Bacterial small subunit ribosomal RNA
Source: RNAcentral
UCACUUGUGGGGGGAUUAGUGGCGAACGGGUGAGUAACACGUGAGUAACCUGCCCUUCACUCUGGGAUAAACCUGGGAAACUGGGUCUAAUACCGGAUAUGACUCCUCAUCUCAUGGUGGGGGGUGGAAAGCUUUUUGUGGUUUUGGAUGGACUCGCGGCCUAUCAGCUUGUUGGUGAGGUAAUGGCUCACCAAGGCGACGACGGGUAGCCGGCCUGAGAGGGUGACCGGCCACACUGGGACUGAAACACGGCCCAGACUCCUACCGGAAGCAGCAGUGGGGAAUAUUGCACAAUGGGCGAAAGCCUGAUGCAGCGACGCCGCGUGAGGGAUGACGGCCUUCGGGUUGUAAACCUCUUUCACUAUGGAAGAAGCGAAAGUGACGGUACCUGCAGAAGAAGCGCCGGCUAACUACAUGCCAGCAGCCGCGGUAAUACGUAUGGCGCAAAGCGUUAUCCGGAACUAUUGGGCGUAAAGAGCUCGU